RNAcentral lists this ribosomal RNA (497 nucleotides) under uncultured bacterium. Its description in RNAcentral is "partial 16S ribosomal RNA". It matches the Rfam family "Bacterial small subunit ribosomal RNA", at positions 28 to 507 of the family's 1533-position model. The record is from RNAcentral.
GAUGAACGCUGGCGGCGUGCCUAAUACAUGCAAGUCGAGCGAACAGACGAGGAGCUUGCUCCUCUGACGUUAGCGGCGGACGGGUGAGUAACACGUGGAUAACCUACCUAUAAGACUGGGAUAACUUCGGGAAACCGGAGCUAAUACCGGAUAAUAUAUUGAACCGCAUGGUUCAAUAGUGAAAGACGGUUUUGCUGUCACUUAUAGAUGGAUCCGCGCCGCAUUAGCUAGUUGGGAAGGUAAAGGCUUACCAAGGCAACGAUGCGUAGCCGACCUGAGAGGGUGAUCGGCCACACUGGAACUGAGACACGGUCCAGACUCCUACGGGAGGCAGCAGUAGGGAAUCUUCCGCAAUGGGCGAAAGCCUGACGGAGCAACGCCGCGUGAGUGAUGAAGGUCUUCGGAUCGUAAAACUCUGUUAUUAGGGAAGAACAAAUGUGUAAGUAACUAUGCACGUCUUGACAGUACCUAAUCAGAAAGCCACGGCUAACUACGUG